AAGGAGUCGAACAUUUAUGCGAGUGUUUGGGUGUCAAAACCUCCCGCGUAAUGAAAGUGAACGGAGGUGAGCGCCCUUACGGGUGCAUCAUCGACCGAUCCUGAUGUCUUCGGAUGGAUUUGAGUAAGAGCAUAACUGUUAGGACCCGAAAGAUGGUGAACUAUGCGUGGGUAGGGUGAAGCCAGGAGAAAUCCUGGUGGAGGCUCGCAGCGGUACUAACGUGCAAAUCGAUCGUCAGAUCUGCGCAUGGGGGCGAAAGACUAAUCGAACCAUCUAGUAGCUGGUUACC
This 289-nucleotide unclassified non-coding RNA is filed under the name uncultured fungus. RNAcentral describes it as "partial contains 5.8S rRNA, ITS2 and 28S rRNA". It matches the Rfam family "Eukaryotic large subunit ribosomal RNA", at positions 668 to 959 of the family's 3401-position model. The record is from RNAcentral. Lineage: Eukaryota; Fungi.